This 465-nucleotide ribosomal RNA is filed under the name Vreelandella stevensii. RNAcentral describes it as "partial 16S ribosomal RNA". It matches the Rfam family "Bacterial small subunit ribosomal RNA", at positions 338 to 795 of the family's 1533-position model. Lineage: Bacteria; Pseudomonadati; Pseudomonadota; Gammaproteobacteria; Oceanospirillales; Halomonadaceae. The record is from RNAcentral.
CCUAGGGGUGGCAGCAGUGGGGAAUAUUGGACAAUGGGCGAAAGCCUGAUCCAGCCAUGCCGCGUGUGUGAAGAAGGCCUUCGGGUUGUAAAGCACUUUCAGUGGGGAAGAAAGCCUUGGGGCUAAUACCCUCGAGGAAGGACAUCACCCACAGAAGAAGCACCGGCUAACUCCGUGCCAGCAGCCGCGGUAAUACGGAGGGUGCGAGCGUUAAUCGGAAUUACUGGGCGUAAAGCGCGCGUAGGCGGUCUGAUAAGCCGGUUGUGAAAGCCCCGGGCUCAACCUGGGAACGGCAUCCGGAACUGUCAGGCUAGAGUGCAGGAGAGGAAGGUAGAAUUCCCGGUGUAGCGGUGAAAUGCGUAGAGAUCGGGAGGAAUACCAGUGGCGAAGGCGGCCUUCUGGACUGACACUGACGCUGAGGUGCGAAAGCGUGGGUAGCAAACAGGAUUAGAUACCCUAGUAGUC